GGCCCAAUGGUCUAGUAGUAUGAUAUUCCCUUCGGGUGUUCGCCAUCCGCUCUGGUCGUCAGAGUUUGAAUUGGGAGUGGUCGGGAGUUCAAUUCUCUCUUGGGCCC
RNAcentral lists this transfer RNA (107 nucleotides) under Ephemerocybe angulata. Its description in RNAcentral is "Coprinellus angulatus tRNA-Pro". It matches the Rfam family "tRNA". Rfam says of the family: Transfer RNA (tRNA) molecules are approximately 80 nucleotides in length. The record is from RNAcentral. Lineage: Eukaryota; Fungi; Basidiomycota; Agaricomycetes; Agaricales; Psathyrellaceae.